RNAcentral lists this long non-coding RNA (422 nucleotides) under Hordeum vulgare. Its description in RNAcentral is "long non-coding RNA (HVUL_LNC010144)". The record is from RNAcentral. Lineage: Eukaryota; Viridiplantae; Streptophyta; Magnoliopsida; Poales; Poaceae.
CGUUCUUUUGUGGUCUGAUACAGGCUGUAGGUUUGGUAGGUUAAGUCCAAGUCAAGCAAGUUAUGUGUCCGUGUACGUGUUGUGCUAGGUUAUAUUGAAGUCGGCUAUGCUAGCCAUGGUCAGGACGGUGCAUAUAUAUAUGCACACAUAUGUUGCUAUGUAACACCAGAAAAAUGGGAAAAGCAACAAAGAGAUAUUUAUGAGGCACGACACGUGCCUCUGGCCAUCUUCGUAUUGAUGCGUUCGCGUGCGUGUGUUCUGGUCCCGGUGUUUGCGUGAGCGCCGGCGAGAUAUCGAGUGCUACAGCUAGUUCGUAUACGUUGAGCCGAGUUGCGUGUGCACGACUAGUCGAGCUGCAGGGUGACCGUGUGCUCGAUCCUGAGGGGAAAAAGCCAACAAUUGGUAUCAGAGCAAGGUGUGGA